This is a long non-coding RNA of Mytilus trossulus (common blue mussel), 494 nucleotides long. RefSeq lists it as uncharacterized. The record is from RefSeq and is a predicted model, not a curated record. NCBI's taxonomy places the organism in Eukaryota, Metazoa, Mollusca, Bivalvia, Mytilida, Mytilidae. The transcript has 2 exons.
CAAGAUAAGAACGUUAAGCGAUGUGUUUGAUAUCUUUAAAGUCUGAAAUCGGAAAAAAAACAAUAUCGGAGCUGAAUAUUUAAUUUUGAUAUUCAAAUGUCUGCGCCCAUGGGACACGAUCGUUCACGACCAAAGCCAAAAGAAGACGACGAGGAAGAAGAUCCAGUUGACAAGAUGCUUACAAAAACUGGAUGCAAAGAGUUACAUUACCUUGUACAGGAUUGUAUGGGAGAACAUAAUGAUUGGAGGAAAUGUCAAAAAGAGGUCACAGAAUUCAGGAAAUGUAUGGAAAAGAAAUCAUCUUAAUACAUUUGAGAAAGGAUUUGUCUUUGCAAGUGAACAGUAAAUCCUCUGAAAUAUACAAUGAAGAUUAAAACAUCUGUGAUAUUCAAGAUACUUAGAAGAACCAUAUCUACCUUUUGUGUAUCAUGUGUAAUGACAAAUAAACGACACCUUUCACUGUUGUUAAAUGAAUAAAGUUUUUUAUUAAUGAA